Molecule: ribosomal RNA, 553 nt
Filed under: uncultured Bacilli bacterium
Lineage: Bacteria; Bacillati; Bacillota; Bacilli
Description: bacterial SSU rRNA
Rfam family: Bacterial small subunit ribosomal RNA
Source: RNAcentral
CGUAAGCUAUCGCUUUUGGAUGGACCCGCGGCGUAUUAGCUAGUUGGUGAGGUAACGGCUCACCAAGGCAAUGAUACGUAGCCGAACUGAGAGGUUGAUCGGCCACAUUGGGACUGAGACACGGCCCAAACUCCUACGGGAGGCAGCAGUAGGGAAUCUUCCACAAUGGACGCAAGUCUGAUGGAGCAACGCCGCGUGAGUGAAGAAGGCUUUCGGGUCGUAAAACUCUGUUGUUGGAGAAGAAUGGUCGGCAGAGUAACUGUUGUCGGCGUGACGGUAUCCAACCAGAAAGCCACGGCUAACUACGUGCCAGCAGCCGCGGUAAUACGUAGGUGGCAAGCGUUAUCCGGAUUUAUUGGGCGUAAAGCGAGCGCAGGCGGUUUUUUAAGUCUGAUGUGAAAGCCCUCGGCUUAACCGAGGAAGUGCAUCGGAAACUGGGAAACUUGAGUGCAGAAGAGGACAGUGGAACUCCAUGUGUAGCGGUGAAAUGCGUAGAUAUAUGGAAGAACACCAGUGGCGAAGGCGGCUGUCUGGUCUGUAACUGACGCUGAGG